Molecule: ribosomal RNA, 468 nt
Filed under: uncultured bacterium
Lineage: Bacteria
Description: partial 16S ribosomal RNA
Rfam family: Bacterial small subunit ribosomal RNA
Source: RNAcentral
GACGAACGCUGGCGGCGUGCUUAACACAUGCAAGUCGAACGGAAAGGCCCUGCUUUUGUGGGGUGCUCGAGUGGCGAACGGGUGAGUAACACGUGAGUAACCUGCCCUUGACUUUGGGAUAACUUCAGGAAACUGGGGCUAAUACCGGAUAGGAGCUCCUGCUGCAUGGUGGGGGUUGGAAAGUUUCGGCGGUUGGGGAUGGACUCGCGGCUUAUCAGCUUGUUGGUGGGGUAGUGGCUUACCAAGGCUUUGACGGGUAGCCGGCCUGAGAGGGUGACCGGCCACAUUGGGACUGAGAUACGGCCCAGACUCCAACGGGCGGCAGCAGUGGGGAAUAUUGCACAAUGGGCGGAAGCCUGAUGCAGCAACGCCGCGUGCGGGAUGACGGCCUUCGGGUUGUAAACCGCUUUCGCCUGUGGCGAAGCGUGAGUGACGGUAAUGGGUAAAGAAGCACCGGCUAACUACGUG